UAGCUCAGUAGGUAGAGCAUGGUGUUUGCAACGCCAGGGUUGUGGGUUUGAUUCCCAC
RNAcentral lists this transfer RNA (58 nucleotides) under Salmo salar (Atlantic salmon). It matches the Rfam family "tRNA", at positions 8 to 63 of the family's 71-position model. Rfam says of the family: Transfer RNA (tRNA) molecules are approximately 80 nucleotides in length. Their secondary structure includes four short double-helical elements and three loops (D, anti-codon, and T loops). The record is from Rfam by way of RNAcentral. Lineage: Eukaryota; Metazoa; Chordata; Actinopteri; Salmoniformes; Salmonidae.